AAACCAACAGGGAUUGCCCUAGUAACGGCGAGUGAAGCGGCAACAGCUCAAAUUUGAAAUCUGGCUUUCGGGCCCGAGUUGUAAUUUGUAGAGGAUGAUUUUGAUGCGGUGCCUUCCGAGUUCCCUGGAACGGGACGCCAUAGAGGGUGAGAGCCCCGUCUGGUUGGAUGCCAAAUCUCUGUAAAUCUCCUUCGACGAGUCGAGUAGUUUGGGAAUGCUGCUCUAAAUGGGAGGUAUAUGUCUUCUAAAGCUAAAUACCGGCCAGAGACCGAUAGCGCACAAGUAGAGUGAUCGAAAGAUGAAAAGCACUUUGAAAAGAGAGUUAAAAAGUACGUGAAAUUGUUGAAAGGGAAGCGUUUAUGACCAGACUUGGGCUUGGUUAAUCAUCUGGGGUUCUCUCCAGUGCACUUUUCCAGCCCAGGCCAGCAUCAGUUUUCGCCGGGGGAUAAAGACUUCGGGAAUGUGGCUCCCCUCGGGGAGUGUUAUAGCCCGUUGUGUAAUACCCUGGUGGGGACUGAGGUUCGCGCUUCUGCAAGGAUGCUGGCGUAAUGGUCAUCAACGAC
RNAcentral lists this ribosomal RNA (563 nucleotides) under Fusarium cerealis. RNAcentral describes it as "eukaryotic LSU rRNA". It matches the Rfam family "Eukaryotic large subunit ribosomal RNA", at positions 62 to 648 of the family's 3401-position model. The record is from RNAcentral. Lineage: Eukaryota; Fungi; Ascomycota; Sordariomycetes; Hypocreales; Nectriaceae.